Molecule: long non-coding RNA, 2552 nt
Organism: Monopterus albus (swamp eel)
Lineage: Eukaryota; Metazoa; Chordata; Actinopteri; Synbranchiformes; Synbranchidae
Exons: 6
Source: RefSeq, a predicted model, not a curated record
UGCUAUGCCAACAUAUUUCCCAAGUGCAUAUUAUGAAACCCAAGAGAUGUGUCGAUAUUGAUGAUGCAAUUAAUUAAGUACAACACCUGCUCUGGUAACGGAACAGGACUACCAGCAUGUAUCCUUCCGCCGCAGCUCAGCAGGGAACUGCAUUAUUGGAAAACCUGAGGCCUGCAUUAGUUAAUUAGUCUUGUACCUUUGGAAGAAACCAACACGAAUUAGCUUGGUGUUGCAGCCGAAGCUGUAUUUGAGCUUAAAACGAACUUCUGAGUACAUUUUUUUUUACAUAGGAAAAAAGGCUGAUUGUUUUCUGCCAUUUUACUGUGUAGUCGCGUUCAGCGUGGAGACCUUCUGGGUCGGCGUGGAGAGUAGGAAAAUGGACCAAACACUUGACCAACUAGAGCUCAGUAGGCAGGAUUCAGAAUGUGGCUGUCGUCUUCUUACAGCUAGGUAGCCGAAUCCAAGAAAGAAACUGAUAAAUAAAUUUCACCCAAAGUGGAACACAAUUUUUACCCUUGGAUCUAGACUGUUGAUUGAAAUCACAUUUAUUACAGACCAUUUGGCUGGGACAACUUUGGCUGAAGCACACAAAAUGAAGCUAUAACUCAGGAGGUGAUCGGUUCUGUCAGCGCUGUUAUGAGUCAUCAGGAGAGGCCCAUUAAGCUCAGUGGCCACUGAAGAUGUGCUCAACCUACUGCUCAGAGUCAUAAGGAGGAUGGCACGGAAGAUGUGCGACGUGGUGGCAGAGGCUUUGUCAUCUCUUCAGCUUCCUCAGUCCCACUCUUCUUGUCGUUACUAACUACCAUGACUGUGCGACUGGGAACCAACAUGCACAACACCAAGACGCUGAAACUCAAGAAGGGAACCAGCUCUGCUGAGGGGACGUUCCUCUAAGUUCUUACACAGGCCCUGCAGCAGUUAAUUGCAGCAAGAAGAUACUUUAUGUGCAGAGCCACCAAAGGGACAGCAAUCACGCUAACAAGCAGGGGGUGAUGGAGUUGAGAUGGUGGAAACAGUAGUCGUGAUGGUGGUGAGAUGCAGAGCUUUCUCUAUCACGUUCCUGGCUCAAAUUGGGUGGUGGAGAAAAGGCUGAAUGCUGUGGCAGUUAUCUCUGGCCUGAUGCCACUCUACUGCCAGCCCUUGAUCCCGCUGCCCUGCCCGGGCAGAUAGGGCUGAAGGAGAGGACGGUUUUGCUGAGCUGUCUAGAAGACAUUUGGUGUGUCAUUUUGUUCAGUGUGCAGAGUGGCUGUCCAAAAUGCCCAUUUACCUGUAUGCACCCCUGAAGUCUGCUUUCUGCACUGUUAUCUGGUGUUAAUUAAAAAGGGAUAUGGCACAGGCACCAUAGUAAAUAUUGUCCUCUCUGAGAGGGGUCCUAUUCCCUUUGCUGUGUGUCUCUAGAUUCACAAUUUAAAGGAUUAAUCUGCAUUUUAAUUGACUAGAGGGGCUCUGCUGCUUUGAUGACUUAAUGAGUAUUAGGAUAUGAUCAAAACACAUGGAACAAAUUUGGAUUUAAAUCUUUUAAUUCAUGCAGCCAAACAAGCUUUAAAGAGGAUUUUAAUGCAGAGCCAGCCAUGUCAUAUUUCAGGAUGUAAAUAGUCACUGACAUGGAGUUGUAUGGUAUUGCUUUUAAAUGCUAGGGUUUGUCACAUGCAUGCCAACAUUCAUGUACUCUGCCCUCCUUGUCCAACACACAAUCGUACCCACAGUCCUACCACACACACACACACACACUCAUAAACUCAUACAGGCUGAGCACUCUAUGAAACCACCUAUCAAGUCAUUAUGCACAUGGCCGGGUAAAGCGAUCUAGUGUAAGCGCAUUGAUCCAUCUAGCCUCAUUCAGUCUGAUGAAGACCCAAGCCUAGUGAUAACAUUUCACAGCCAGAUGAGCAACUGCUACAAUACAGCACAUGGCUAAUGGACAGUAAGGAGCUGACUCACGGUGUUGGAAGGAAAAACGGCAUAUUACAGGGUGAUUGAGCCAAAUAUUUAAAGCAAUUAUCUCUUAAAGAAAUGUUUCUAUAUAGCAAAUCCACUGUUUCUCUGGGACAAGAUUACAAGCUUGGCUGCAUUGUGAAGGGCAUUAAAUGACACAAAAUGGAAAUCUUAGCAGUAUGCCUACCACUCACAUCAAGGAACACACUCAGGAUCCAAAGGGUACAAGAAUGUGAGAUUGAAAAUGGCAUGGAUACCCACUGAAGGUGCCUGGAGGCAAGGCUUGAGUAAAUCUGGAUUAUGUUUGCCUUUUAUCAAAGUUGACUUUUUACUAAUGCCACGGGCAGGCGGCUACAUAAGAAUGCUUCUGUUCUUAGGGGAAAUGUGCACUGAACUCAUCUGGCAUCUCAGCAUAGGAAGCUAUAGUAAGCUGCCCUUUGAAAGAGCCCCACAUAUAUAGUUUUUAAAAAACCCACAACUAAGAAGAUGCAAAUAGCCAAGCAGGACAUAGCUGCUGUCACACUGCCCCUUGAAUGAUGAAUAUCUCUCUGGCAGACAGUGGCCCAUGUGUGAACCUGGCAUUUGAUGUAAUUUGUCUGGUCCUAGGGCUAAAUACU